RNAcentral lists this ribosomal RNA (490 nucleotides) under uncultured bacterium. RNAcentral's name for it is "partial 16S ribosomal RNA". It matches the Rfam family "Bacterial small subunit ribosomal RNA", at positions 30 to 507 of the family's 1533-position model. The record is from RNAcentral.
AUUGAACGCUGGCGGCAGGCCUAACACAUGCAAGUCGAACGGUAACAGGAAGCAGCUUGCUGCUUUGCUGACGAGUGGCGGACGGGUGAGUAAUGUCUGGGAAACUGCCUGAUGGAGGGGGAUAACUACUGGAAACGGUAGCUAAUACCGCAUAACGUCGCAAGACCAAAGAGGGGGACCUUAGGGCCUCUUGCCAUCGGAUGUGCCCAGAUGGGAUUAGCUUGUUGGUGGGGUAACGGCUCACCUAGGCGACGAUCCCUAGCUGGUCUGAGAGGAUGACCAGCCACACUGGAACUGAGACACGGCCCAGACUCCUACGGGAGGCAGCAGUGGGGAAUAUUGCACAAUGGGCGCAAGCCUGAUGCAGCCAUGCCGCGUGUAUGAAGAAGGCCUUCGGGUUGUAAAGUACUUUCAGCGGGGAGGAAGGGAGUAAAGUUAAUACCUUUGCUCAUUGACGUUACCCGCAGAAGAAGCACCGGCUAACUCCGUG